GGGGGCGACCGGUUUCGACGUGCCUGUUGAAGUAUUGGUCGCGCGCCGAGGACCCCGGUUGGCCUCGUAAAUCACCCGGGAAACAACACAAAAGCCAACGAAGACUUGGCCUUCGCGGCCUAAAGCCCGCGAACGUUCGCCCGUCUGUGCCUGCGGGACGGAACCGAGCGUCAUGAGCAGGCUGGCAACCGAGCCGGGCAACCGGGCAAGGAAGCGAGACCCAACAGGUUGCUGGCGGUGGCGUUGGCCUGUCCGUGGGCAGACGACAUGGCGAGACUCAAACAUGGACUACGCGCGUAGACGCUGAUGCAACACUUGUGCGGACGCGGGUUCAACUCCCGCCGCCUCCACCA
Molecule: transfer-messenger RNA, 353 nt
Filed under: Kiritimatiellia
Lineage: Bacteria; Pseudomonadati; Kiritimatiellota
Also listed under: 1 other name
Description: JAAZFE01 sp012511885 Standard tmRNA
Rfam family: transfer-messenger RNA
About the family: Bacterial tmRNA, also known as 10Sa RNA or SsrA, is named for its dual tRNA and mRNA-like properties. Its role is to liberate the mRNA from a stalled ribosome.
Source: RNAcentral